Molecule: long non-coding RNA, 1037 nt
Filed under: Homo sapiens (human)
Lineage: Eukaryota; Metazoa; Chordata; Mammalia; Primates; Hominidae
Description: non-protein coding IGFL2-AS1:13
Source: RNAcentral
AGCCCAGUUGCACCCAAGUAAAAUAAACAGUCUUGUUGCUCACACAAAGCCUGUUGGUGGACUCUCUUCAUAUGGACUCAUGUGACAUUUGGUGCCGAAGACCUGAGACAGGAGGACUCCUUUGGGAGACCGGUCCCCUGUCCUCGCCCUCUCUCCAUGAGAUCCACCCAUGACCUCGGGUCCUCAGCCCAGCCGAAGGAACUUCUCACCAAUUUUAAAUCGGGGACGCAAAGCCAACAAGAAUGAAGAAGUGGCCAGGAAAUUAAAGCAAUGUGAACACCCUCUGGCCAGCCUGUUGGAGGGUGAGAGACCACAUGGAGGAGACAGAGCCCUGAUGUCCCAGCUGAGGACAUCCCAGAAAAGCCUAUUUCCAGACAACUGAGGACAGGUGAAUGAGUUCUUUGUAGAUGAACCAGAAUCCAGUCUAUCUACCUGCUGAGCACAGACAUGUGAGCAACCCCCCCAUCAAGGUCAACUGAGCCUGGCCCAGAUCAACAGAAUCACGAGAUGACCUAUGGACUCAGGAGCAAUCAUGAUGUGGUUGUUCCAUGACACUGAAUGUAGAGGUCGUUGAUUCUGCAGCACCAGCAAACUGACACAUAACACCGUGUUUAAUAUUGGGUUCUGGGCUUUGGGGUCCCUGCAGAGUUCCUGAUUUCAGCCCCAAGGGCUCAUUCACAAAUUUAUUACUCAGAUUCUACCCUGUCAACCCAGGACGUGUUACUUACACAUUUCCCAGUGUGGGCAGCAAGCCACCCAGGUGCCGAGGCAAGAGACCGAGGGCACAAGCUGUUCCAGUAUAAUAAAGAAAACAUAUAAAAUAAGAAUAGUUAUACUAGAUAUAGAUCGUAGAUAUGAUUAUAUAUGAAUAUUACUAAUCAUUAGUCUGUAGCAAUUACUCUUUAUUCCAUUAUAAUAAUAAUCUUCUCUCUACAAUUAUAACUUAAGAGAAACCAGGCCAUACAGAGAUAGGAGCUGAACGGACACAGUGAGAAAUGACCAGAAGACAAGAGUGUGAGCCUUCUAUUAUGCCCCGA